Molecule: ribosomal RNA, 460 nt
Filed under: Monostilifera sp. MCZ IZ 45641
Lineage: Eukaryota; Metazoa; Nemertea; Enopla; Monostilifera
Description: partial 16S ribosomal RNA
Rfam family: Archaeal large subunit ribosomal RNA
Source: RNAcentral
AGUUUUUUGGUUUUUUAUAAAAGAUGGUUUUUGCUCAGUGUUUUGUAAAUAGCCGCGGUAAUUUGGCCGUGCAAAGGUAGCAUAAUCAUUUGCCCUAUAAUUGAGGGCUGGAAUGAAUGGAAGAACAAGGUGCCUGCUUUGUUUUAAAGAAAAAAAAAACUUUCUUUUUUAGUGAAGAAGCUAAAAUUAAUUUGGGGGACAAGAAGACCCUUUUGAGCUUUAUUAACAGUGUUUUUUUUUUGUACUUUUAAUUUGGUUGGGGCGACCGAGGAAGAGAGGAUCUUCCUUUUGUACUUUGACCCGGGGCUUCCGAGCAAUGGAUCAAGCUACCAAAGGGAUAACAGCGUAAUUUUUUUUGUGAGUUCUUAUUAAAAGAAAAGAUUGCGACCUCGAUGUUGACUUAUGGUUACCUUUUGGUGCAGCAGCUAUUAGGGGGGGUCUGUUCAACCUUUAAAACCUU